UACAAAUAGUAAAUAACCUUUAUUUCUUAUUUCAUCAAUUAUCAGUUUGAGAUAUGUUUUACUUAACAAUUUGUAUUCUGCUGUAUUAAAAAAACUCAUUAUUCUGGAAUAAAUUCAGAUUUACAUAAAAGUUACAAAGAUAGUACAGAGAAUACUCGUAUGUCCUUUACCCAACAUCCCCCAAUGUUAACAUCUUACAUAACUACAGUACAUUUGUCACAACCAAGAAAUUAAUAUUGGAAUAAUACUAUUAACAAAAUUCCAGACUUUGUUUAGAUUUAGCCAAUUUUUUUCCACUCAUGUCCUUUUUUCACUGUCAAUCUGGGAUAUCACAUUGUAUUUAGUUGUCAUGUCUCCUUAGUCUUCUCUGUUCUGUAAAAGCUUCUCAGACUUUCCUUGUUUUUUCAGGUCCUUGAUACUUUUUAGUACUGGUCAAGUAUUUGUAGAAUGCCCUUUAUUAUUAUUAUUAUUUUUUUUUUCUGCUUAGAUUUAACACAUUCUAUCAGAGAGUACAUGAUAUCACCAUGCCUUAUCAUUGGUGAAGUUAACCUUGAACUUGGUUAAGGUGCUGUCUGCCAGGCCUCUUCACUGUAAAGUUACUGCUUUUCCCUCUUCAUACUCUGUUCUUUAAAAGUCAGCAGUCCAGUCCAUAUUCAAGAAGAGGUAAAUUAAGUUCCACCUCCUGAAAGUGUGUUCUACAUAUAUUAUUUGGAAUUUUUCUGUAAGGAAGAUUUGCUUCUUUUCUGCCAAGUAUUUAUUUAGUCAAUCAUUUAUUUAAAUCAACAUGGAUUUAUAGAUAUUGACUUUAUUUUUUAGGUUAUAAUCCAAUCCUCUCAUAUUUAUUUUGUUGCUCAAACUGUCCCAGCUUGGACCACUGGGAGACAUUUCAGGAUAAUAAUAUCCUGAAGGUGAUCAACAAUAUUGCAAUACCUAUUAUACAGUAGGUAGUUUUGGGAGCAUUUUAACAUGAUACCAAAUGUAAAAUGAAUCUACCUUAAAUUUAUAUAUGGAAAAAAUCAACUGAAGACCGAGAAGAUCACUUAAAAAUCAUAUGUAAUUAUGUAUUUCUUAAACCUUUAUACUUCAAAAAGCAACCUGACAUCACAGAUUGAGAAAAUGUAAUUACAUCUUCAACAGAAUGCUAUAGAAUAACAAUGUCAUUGUAAGGAAAAAGCAAAUAAUAAACCAGUCAGAAGUGCUACAAAAGAAAACACUGAGGAAAAAAUAGCAAAAUGUAAAGGUGUAAGAAUUUUAAUUGUCUGCAUUUCCUAACUUCCAUUCCUCAGCCUCCAGAAAUCUAACAUUUGCCACUAUACAAAUGGCUCUCAGACACAAGACAAACUAACCGCCAAAGCCAAUCAUCCACUUUCAGUACUUACCUAACCAAUCUCCCAUAACACUUGACACUCUUUUUUUUAAUUAAUUAAUUUUUUUUUUUUGAGACGGAGUUUCUCUCCUUGCCCAGGCUGGAGUGCAAUGGCGUGAUCUCAGCUCACCACAACCUCCACUUCCCAGGUUCAAGCAAUUCUCCUGCCUCAGCCUCCUGAAUAGCUGGGAUUAUAGGCAUGUGCCACCACGUCCGGCUAUUAUUUGUAUUUUUAGUAGAGAUGGGGUUUCGUCAUGUUGGUAAGGCUGGCCUUGAACUCCCGACCUCAGGUGAUCUGCCCGCCUCAGCCUCCCAAAGUUCUGGGAUUACAGGCGUGAGCCACCACGUCCACCCACUUGACACUCUUGACUAUAAUAAACUCACUUAAGAAACCCACUGAAUUCACCAUAAAUAUUGUCAUUCCUUCUCAUAGCCUUAAUAAUAAAGUAUCUAUAAUUAUCUUCAGGUUUUACCUCUCCUUUGAGCUACAGAUCCAUCUGUCCUACAAAACAGGCUUGAAAUCCAAAUUUAUUACCUAUUUCCAACCUUAUCCUUUUGCAUAUCUCAUUUCACUUAAUCACAUCAUCUCUACCUUGGCUCAGAGCCUCAUAAUAAGAGCCUCAUAAUAUUUUGUGGGAGCAGUUUCCAAACUGAUCUACCUGAUCUCUUUUCACUAAUCCAUCUAUCACACUGCUGUCAAUGUAAUCUCAACAAAUUAUUCCCCAUCUUAAAACCCUUAACUUCUCAUACCUUAUAAAGUAAACUCUAUACUCUUGGGAGUCUCAUAUAAACGAGGACUUUAUGAUCUGCCUAUCUUUCCAGUCCCAUCUCUUGGGUCCCAUAUCAAACCAUUAACACUUAACUAAGCACAGUAACACAUCCCCAUGCCCUUGCAAAGCUGAUAUCUAGUGUAAGAAACACGUGUCACACAUUAUUCUUCGCUGCUAAAUUCAAAACUCCCUCCUCCUUCCCAAGACCUUUAAAGUCAGUCCCUCACUUCUCUGCUCCCCAAAAUGCCUUGUAAGUAUCUCAAUAUUAAGAACCGUCAGGCUGUGCGCGGUGGCUCACACCUGUAAUCCCAGCACUUUGGGAAGCCGAGGCGGGUGGAUCACCAUAGGUCAGGAGUUCGAGACCAGCCUGGUCAACAUGGUGAAACUCCGUCUCUACUAAAAACACAAAAAUUAGCUGGGCAUGGUGGCACACACCUGUAAUCCCAGCUACUCAGGAGGCUGAGGCAGGAGAAUUGCUUGAGCCUGGGAGGCGGAGGUUGCAGUGAGCCGAGAUUGCACCAUUGCACUCCAGCCUGGGCAACAGAGCAAGACUCCGUCUCAAAAUAAAAAAAUGAAUAAAUAAAUAAACACUGUUAAAAGCUAAGGAACACUCAGAUUCUCCACUAAGUUUUAAUUUUUCAAAAGUUCAUGAAUAAUGAAAAUCAGGAACAAAAACUCUUUGUAUUCGAGGGGUUUAUCUUUUCCCUAAUACACAAGUCUUUUUUUGUUUUUUGUUUUUUUUUUAAGAUGGAGUCUCGCUCUGUUGCCCAGGCUGAAGUGCAGUGGUGCUAUCUCGGCUCACUGCAAGCUCCACCUCCAGAGUUCACGCCAUUCUCCUGCCUCAGCCUCCCGAGUAGCUGGGACUAUAAGCGCCUGCCACCAUGCCUGGCUAAUUUUUUUUGUAUUUUAAGUAGAGAUGGGGUUUCAUCGUGUUAACCAGGAUGGUCUCGAUCUCUUGACCUCAUGAUCCGCCCACCUCGGCCUCCCAAAGCACUGGGAUUACAGGUGUGAGCCACUGCGCCUGGCCUAAUGCACAAGUUUUUAAUCUUUUAGGGGAAUAAUAAUAAUAACUAAUAUUUGCAUGCUUACUAUGUGAUUACUUUUCAUAAUACCCCUACAAAUCCCAUUAUAUAGGAGGUUUAGAGAAUAUACUGAGGUUUAGAGAAUUUACUUGGAAAAUCUGAUGAAAUUUUUCUAGAUUAUCACUAAAAAAGAUGCACAAACAUAUAUACCCGUAAUUUUACUUACAACAUCAGAGGGUUUAUGGACUUCCUAGAGUUAUUUUACAAACUCUUAGGCUUAAGAUCUCUCACAAAGAACUUCUAAUCUUUUAUUCGAGUGGCAAAUGCUUACUCUUUGUUUUCUAUCUUCUCAAUUCUUAAAAGGUGUAUAAUUAAGAGAGAAAAAGAUGUACAAUUCUUUCUAGAUGUACAAAUGCAUUUUCCAGAUUUCUUUUUUUUCUAUCUAAUUGAAGCAGCUUUUAUGAAAACAUCAAAAGGUAUGCUGCAAAAUGAAGUCUGUCUGAAUGAAUAUUCAGUUAAAUUUUACAAUGCUGAAAAUGUCCAAUGUUUGAAUUUUUAUUAUGAGACAUACAGUAUUAAUAACAUAUUCUUCCUGUAACAAAGAUGCAUUUAUAACUACUGGAUUAAUAUACAUUAAAAAUCCUUCCAGC
Molecule: long non-coding RNA, 3808 nt
Filed under: Homo sapiens (human)
Lineage: Eukaryota; Metazoa; Chordata; Mammalia; Primates; Hominidae
Description: HSALNT0295952
Source: RNAcentral